RNAcentral lists this ribosomal RNA (345 nucleotides) under Triticum aestivum (bread wheat). RNAcentral describes it as "partial small subunit ribosomal RNA". Lineage: Eukaryota; Viridiplantae; Streptophyta; Magnoliopsida; Poales; Poaceae. The record is from RNAcentral.
AUGGCGAGCGAAGGGAGAGCGGACUCGCAUGCGCGCCGUGGAGCCUUCGAUGGGGGGCGAACAAACUGGAGGGGGCGGGGCGAGCCAUGGAGCGAGGAGAGGGGCGGCAACUUCGGGCCGCCGGCUGGCUACCUCCCCACGCGCCGCCGUCCGGGAGCUUCCCACCACCUGGUGGUUUUGCACCGCCGCCGGGAGGUUUCGUUCCUCCGCAUGGCUACCAUGGGGGUCCUCCAUCCUUCAACAACUUCAACUCCAACCAGUCAUUUCCGCCAUACCACUUCCCGCAGACAAAUCCUCAAGGUGCGUUCAUAUCUGGUGCGCAAUAGUGGGAUGGUCCAAGAUUAG